RNAcentral lists this ribosomal RNA (481 nucleotides) under Tubificoides parapectinatus. Its description in RNAcentral is "partial 16S ribosomal RNA". It matches the Rfam family "Bacterial large subunit ribosomal RNA", at positions 1831 to 2597 of the family's 2925-position model. Lineage: Eukaryota; Metazoa; Annelida; Clitellata; Tubificida; Naididae. The record is from RNAcentral.
UGUCAUUAGCACCUAUUAAUGAUACAUCCUGCCCGGUGAUUAAUUAAACGGCCGCGGUACCCUGACCGUGCAAAGGUAGCAUAAUCAUUUGCCUAUUAAUUGUAGGCUAGUAUGAAAGGACACACGCGAGUAAACCUGUCUCCAUUAAGUAAAUAAAAUUUUAUCUCUGAGUGAAGAAGCUCAGAUAAAGCCGCAGGACAAGAAGACCCUAUAGAGCUUUACCUUACAUACUUCUAAAAAAAGUAUUCACGGUUCGGUUGGGGCAACCAAGGUAUAAUAAACAACCUUAAAUCCCUUCGAUCUCCUAAUCUUCUAAAUGAUCCUUACUCAAGAUCCUCGAAUCAAGCUACCUUAGGGAUAACAGGCUAAUCCUCUUUAAGAGUCCGUAUUAACAAGAGGGGUUGGCACCUCGAUGUUGGCUUAGGAUACCUUUAUGAUGUAGCAGUCAUAACAAGUUGGUUUGUUCAACCAUUAAAAUCCU